This is a long non-coding RNA of Clupea harengus (Atlantic herring), 369 nucleotides long. Lineage: Eukaryota; Metazoa; Chordata; Actinopteri; Clupeiformes; Clupeidae. The record is from Ensembl.
GGUUCUUCAGAUUGCAAUGAAACCACGAUCAGACUACUGCCCAUAUCACAAGGAUCGAUUCAGAACCAAACAUGAAUGUACACAUGAAUUCAUAUACAUUUGCACAUAACAUGGAAAUCACAAUCGGGGGAAGGUUUAAGCAUGCAACCAGGUUGGUCCAGUGCAAGAGGGUUGCUUGGUGACUGCAGGCUAUUGACCCUGACCAAGCUGUGCGGUGGGUGACUGACCAGAGUCAGAAGAGCGGCAUGCCUGUCGUGUCACGAGAGGACGGGACUGACGCGCACGCCGUGAACUUUUGAGUGGUGGCACUAGUUUUAUAUUGACUUAAGCAUGUCAUUCCCAUUGAAUAGCUAUAAAUAAAUCUUAUUU